GUCUACGGCCAUACCACCCUGAACGCACCUAAUCUCGUCUGAUCUUAGAAGCUAAGCAGGGUUGGGCCCUGGUUAGUACUUGGAUGGGAGAAAUGAUUAGUCUUCCUGGUGGAAACCAAAGUGUAAACA
RNAcentral lists this ribosomal RNA (129 nucleotides) under Propithecus coquereli (Coquerel's sifaka). Lineage: Eukaryota; Metazoa; Chordata; Mammalia; Primates; Indriidae. The record is from RNAcentral.